Molecule: ribosomal RNA, 898 nt
Filed under: uncultured delta proteobacterium
Lineage: Bacteria; Deltaproteobacteria
Description: bacterial SSU rRNA
Rfam family: Bacterial small subunit ribosomal RNA
Source: RNAcentral
CAGUGCGGCGGCUACCAUGCAGUCGAGCGAGAAGCCCGCAAGGGUGAGUAAAGCGGCGCACGGGUGAGUAACACGUGGGUAAUCUGCCCUGAAAUCCGGGAUAACUCUCCGAAAGGGGUGCUAAUACCGGAUAAGACCACGGGAGCCUCGGCUCCUGCGGGAAAAGGUGGCCUCUGUAUACAAGCUAUCGUUUCAGGAUGAGCCCGCGGCCCAUCAGCUAGUUGGCGGGGUAACGGCCCACCAAGGCGACGACGGGUAGCUGGUCUGAGAGGACGAUCAGCCACACUGGAACUGAGACACGGUCCAGACUCCUACGGGAGGCAGCAGUGGGGAAUCUUGCGCAAUGGGCGAAAGCCUGACGCAGCAACGCCGCGUGUGUGAUGAAGGUCUUCGGAUCGUAAAGCACUGUCGGGAGGGACGAAUAAGGGUCCGUCUAACAAGCGGAUCCGAUGACGGUACCUCCAAAGGAAGCACCGGCUAACUCUGUGCCAGCAGCCGCGGUAAUACAGAGGGUGCAAGCGUUGUUCGGAAUUAUUGGGCGUAAAGCGCGUGUAGGCGGCCAAGCAAGUCAGGUGUGAAAGCCCUCGGCUUAACCGAGGAAGUGCGCCUGAAACUACUUGGCUUGAGUACCGGAGAGGAUGGUGGAAUUCCCGGUGUAGAGGUGAAAUUCGUAGAUAUCGGGAGGAACACCAGCGGCGAAGGCGACCAUCUGGACGGAUACUGACGCUGAGACGCGAAAGCGUGGGGAGCAAACAGGAUUAGAUACCCUGGUAGUCCACGCUGUAAACGAUGAGCGCUAGGUGUUGCGGGUGUUGACCCCUGCAGUGCCGCAGCUAACGCAUUAAGCGCUCCGCCUGGGAAGUACGGCCGCAAGGCUAAAACUCAAAGGAAUUGACGG